Molecule: transfer RNA, 88 nt
Filed under: Deltaproteobacteria bacterium
Lineage: Bacteria; Pseudomonadati; Myxococcota; Myxococcia
Also listed under: 1 other name
Description: tRNA-Ser
Rfam family: tRNA
About the family: Transfer RNA (tRNA) molecules are approximately 80 nucleotides in length. Their secondary structure includes four short double-helical elements and three loops (D, anti-codon, and T loops).
Source: RNAcentral
GGAGAGGUGUCCGAGUGGUCGAAGGUGAUUGACUCGAAAUCAAUUGUGGGGCAACCCACCGGGGGUUCGAAUCCCUCCCUCUCCGCCA